GUAAAGGAUCUCAAACAUCUACUUUAUCUCCAUCCCCAGCCCCAUAUGUCUGAGUGAUGUCCAGGCCUGGUUUCACUCCAAAAGGAGAAAAAAGGAAGGAGUGGGGAUCAGUAAAGCUCACAGGAAACCUCCCGAACAGGCCCACCUGGAAACGGCUGCAGGAAGGAAGAAAUUAAUACAUCCUGGAGCCAGGACUUUACCCCCUCCCCUUUUAGUAUAAAAGAAGCAUGAAUUCUAACUCAGGGAAGAUGGUUCUUUGGGACACUAGUCCACCAUCUUCUCAAUCUGCUGCUUUUCCAAAUAAAGUUGUUCUUCCUUGCCCCGACA
This is a long non-coding RNA of Balaenoptera ricei (Rice's whale), 327 nucleotides long. RefSeq lists it as uncharacterized. The record is from RefSeq and is a predicted model, not a curated record. Lineage: Eukaryota; Metazoa; Chordata; Mammalia; Artiodactyla; Balaenopteridae. The transcript is spliced from 2 exons.